RNAcentral lists this ribosomal RNA (494 nucleotides) under uncultured bacterium. RNAcentral describes it as "partial 16S ribosomal RNA". It matches the Rfam family "Bacterial small subunit ribosomal RNA", at positions 28 to 507 of the family's 1533-position model. The record is from RNAcentral.
GACGAACGCUGGCGGCGUGCUUAACACAUGCAAGUCGAACGGAAAGGCCUGCUUUCCUUUGUGGAUUGCGGGUACUCGAGUGGCGAACGGGGGAGUAACACGUGAGUGAUCUGCCCCCAACUUGUGUAUAAGCCUGGGAAACUGGGUCUAAUCCCCGAUAGGACUGCAGGGUGGUGCCUGUGGUGGAAAACGAUUUUCUAGUGGUUGGGGAUGAGUUCGAGGCUUAUGAGCUUGUUGGUGGGGCAAUGGCCGACCAAGCCGGGGACGGGUAGCCAGACUGGGAGGGGGGACAGCGAAAUUGAGACUGGGAUACGGCCCAGACGCGUACGGGAGGCAGCAGUGGGGAAUAUUGCACAAUGGGCGGGAGCCUGAUGCAGCGAGGCCGCGUGGAAGAUGACGGCCUUGGAGUUGUAAUCUCCUUUCAACCACGAGGAGGCCGCCUGGUUGGAGGGGUGGUGACGGUAGUGGUAGAAGAAGCACCGGCUAACUACGUG